UGUGACACUUGCUUUGCUAACAGCAUUUU
This 29-nucleotide non-coding RNA is filed under the name Rattus norvegicus (Norway rat). The record is from RNAcentral. Lineage: Eukaryota; Metazoa; Chordata; Mammalia; Rodentia; Muridae.